CAAUAGCGUAUAUUUAAGUUGUUGCAGUUAAAAAGCUCGUAGUUGGAUUUCGGUUAAGAGCGACCGGUCCGCCGUUUGGUGUGCACUGGUUGGUUUUAACUUCCUGUAGAGGACGUGCUCUGGGCUUAACGACCUGGACUCGGAGUCUACGUGGUUACUUUGAAAAAAUUAGAGUGUUCAAAGCGGGCUUACGCUUGAAUAUUUCAGCAUGGAAUAACACUAUAGGACUCCUGUCCUAUUUCGUUGGUCUCGGGACGGGAGUAAUGAUUAAGAGGAACAGUUGGGGGCAUUCGUAUUUCAUUGUCAGAGGUGAAAUUCUUGGAUUUAUGAAAGACGAACUUCUGCGAAAGCAUUUGCCAAGGAUGUUUUCAUUAA
RNAcentral lists this ribosomal RNA (375 nucleotides) under uncultured eukaryote. Its description in RNAcentral is "partial 18S ribosomal RNA". It matches the Rfam family "Eukaryotic small subunit ribosomal RNA", at positions 592 to 976 of the family's 1831-position model. The record is from RNAcentral.